RNAcentral lists this ribosomal RNA (253 nucleotides) under uncultured bacterium. Its description in RNAcentral is "partial 16S ribosomal RNA". It matches the Rfam family "Bacterial small subunit ribosomal RNA", at positions 524 to 776 of the family's 1533-position model. The record is from RNAcentral.
UACGAAGGGGGCUAGCGUUGCUCGGAAUCACUGGGCGUAAAGCGCACGUAGGCGGCUUUUUAAGUCAGGGGUGAAAUCCUGGAGCUCAACUCCAGAACUGCCUUUGAUACUGAGAAGCUUGAGUCCGGGAGAGGUGAGUGGAACUGCGAGUGUAGAUGUGAAAUUCGUAGAUAUUCGCAAGAACACCAGUGGCGAAGGCGGCUCACUGGCCCGGUACUGACGCUGAGGUGCGAAAGCGUGGGGAGCAAACAGG